UGACUCAGGACGAUCGCCCGUGCAGGAGCCAUGUGUGGUGCUAUGGAAUAUAUGUCGCGACAUCGUGAGGCCAGGACACACAAAGGAGGUUGUGAUUUGCUGCUUGAAAUGGAUGCCCGACGACUGAUCCGCAAACAGCUGCAGCCGGCAAGGCCUAUUCGUCGCAUUCUACCUGGCUCCGGAGCCGUAUUCAUAAACUUUCAGGCUACAUUCACCGAUUGUAGAGACAACUUUAAAGAUCACUGUAAUAUGUGGUGCUCCAUUGAGAACCUUCAUCAUGUUUUCAAGGAUCCAGUAAUUGAAAAACCACUAGAAGAACCACAAUGGAACAAUAAAAAAGAUAGAAUUACGUACACCAGAGACUUCCUGUUGCAGCUAUCUAACGUGUCUGUGAGCAGAAAGAAGCCAAAGUAUUUGCCAGAUCUUCCAAUCAUACUUCAGGAUCCGGAAUUCUGGCAUGUGUAUGAAGUUCACCAAGAUAGACAGCAGAUGGUGCUAAAGUGCCAUAAAUGGAAACUAGAAUCUGACAUAGACUGGAAGUGAGGCAGCUGUCCACAAGAUGGCGCUUGUAAUCAUUUGUGUUCCCAUUACUUGCCUCCAGUCCCAUCAAUAGGAUUGACUAUGUUCUUGUUUCUGUACAUUGAAAAAGAUGUUUCCUCCUCUUCAAUCUCCAACCUGUACUGUGCCAUUGACCCCUUUUCACCAGCGGACAUGCAGAACACACAUCUCUCUGCAAGACUAGAUCAUCGCACCUACCAUCUGUCACAGGAUGACGCACUCAUUUUUGGCUAAUAAGCAGCAAGGUUAUUGUGUAUUAUUCUCCUAAUAAAAAAAAGAUAUUCUGCUACUAUUGCAGCGCUGGAGAAACGUUUCUAGCUCUGUGCAUUUAAGA
Molecule: RNA transcript, 892 nt
Organism: Hyla sarda
Lineage: Eukaryota; Metazoa; Chordata; Amphibia; Anura; Hylidae
Gene: C5H8orf88
Gene name: chromosome 5 C8orf88 homolog
Exons: 7
Source: RefSeq, a predicted model, not a curated record